UUAGAGUUUGAUCCUGGCUCAGAACGAACGCUGGCGGCAGGCUUAACACAUGCAAGUCGAGCGCAUCCUUCGGGGUGAGCGGCAGACGGGUGAGUAACGCGUGGGGAUAUGCCCAAAGGUGCGGAAUAACUGUGGGAAACUACAGCUAAUACCGCAUGUGCCCUUCGGGGGAAAGAUUUAUCGCCUUUGGAUUAACCCGCGUCAGAUUAGCUAGUUGGUAGGGUAAUGGCCUACCAAGGCGACGAUCUGUAGCUGGUCUGAGAGGAUGACCAGCCACACUGGGACUGAGACACGGCCCAGACUCCUACGGGAGGCAGCAGUGGGGAAUAUUGGACAAUGGGCGCAAGCCUGAUCCAGCCAUGCCGCGUGAGUGAUGACGGCCUUAGGGUUGUAAAGCUCUUUUAACAGGGACGAUAAUGACGGUACCUGUAGAAUAAGCCCCGGCUAACUUCGUGCCAGCAGCCGCGGUA
RNAcentral lists this ribosomal RNA (470 nucleotides) under uncultured bacterium. Its description in RNAcentral is "bacterial SSU rRNA". It matches the Rfam family "Bacterial small subunit ribosomal RNA", at positions 1 to 522 of the family's 1533-position model. The record is from RNAcentral.